GACGAACGCUGGCGGCGUGCCUAAUACAUGCAAGUAGAACGCAGUUGCGAACGGGUGAGUAACGCGUAGGUAACUGCCUCAUAGCGGGGGAUAACUAUUGGAAACGAUAGCUAAUACCGCAUCCUUUGAGCUGGACCUGCGUUGUAUUAGGUAGUUGGUGAGGUAAAGGGUCACCAAGGCGACGAUACAUAGCCGGACUGAGAGGGUGAACGGCCACAAUGGGACUGAGACACGGGCCAGACUCCUACGGGAGGCAGCAGUAGGGGAUCUUCGGAAAUGGACGGAAGUCUGACCGAGCAACGCCGCGGGAGUGAAGAAGGUUUUCGGAUCGUAAAGCUCUGUUGUUAGAGAAGCGGUAUCUAACCAGAAAGGGACGGCUAACUACGUGCCAGCCGCCGCGGUAAUUC
This 407-nucleotide ribosomal RNA is filed under the name uncultured bacterium. RNAcentral's name for it is "partial 16S ribosomal RNA". It matches the Rfam family "Bacterial small subunit ribosomal RNA", at positions 28 to 526 of the family's 1533-position model. The record is from RNAcentral.